This 99-nucleotide non-coding RNA is filed under the name Elstera litoralis. RNAcentral's name for it is "TPP sequence". It matches the Rfam family "TPP riboswitch aptamer (THI element)". From Rfam's summary of the family: Vitamin B(1) in its active form thiamin pyrophosphate (TPP) is an essential coenzyme that is synthesised by coupling of pyrimidine and thiazole moieties in bacteria. The previously detected thiamin-regulatory element, thi box was extended, resulting in a new, highly conserved RNA secondary structure, the THI element, which is widely distributed in eubacteria and also occurs in some archaea. Lineage: Bacteria; Pseudomonadati; Pseudomonadota; Alphaproteobacteria; Rhodospirillales; Rhodospirillaceae. The record is from Rfam by way of RNAcentral.
AGCUUCUCAACGGGGUGCUCUUCGGGGCUGAGAGGCUAGCGCCAACCCGCCGAACCUGAUCCGGAUUAUGCCGGCGGAGGGAUUGAGAGACGGCGCUUC